UAUGCGUCACGACUGGGUAUUUUCUCCGGCGACAAGCUUACAUAGGUCUCUUAACAUAGGCUAUGUGCUAUCAGUGUGUGAAUUCUGAUUGAUGGGACUUUCGCCUACUGUUUGACUUAAUUCGUGACCUCAAAGAAUGGACAACAGGAAUUUGACAAGAGGAAUGCUCCGAAUGAAGGGAGACAUGGAACAGGGGUGUUGAUGAAAGCAAGGUCAACGAUGGGCUAAGUGGGAGGCUAAUCUCCUACUUCCGGUGUGAAGGUGGUACAUGACACCAGGAUUAACGCAGCGGAGUUGCUCAGUACAGAAGGGGAACCUUAUCACUGCCCACUGAAUGGAGAGGAUGAGGAUGGCCCAACCUUCCCGGAGGAGCCAUUGGCAGAUCCAGAUCUUAACAUUUUUGUUGAUGGGCCACACAUGUGCAAUGACAGGAAACCAUUCACUGCCUGGGCAAUGGUAAUCAAAGAUCCAGAACUAGCCUCCUGAUGGGUGGAGCUAGCGGCAAGAAAAUGUGAAAAGAAAAGGAAAAAGGAGAAAAAUAAGGGAUUGGAAAGUGCCACACUGUGGAAACCUGGUGUGGUGAAUAAUUUCAGUAGAUGGGUGUACCUGGGUCCCACUGGUUUCUGCCAAUUCUGAGCUGAUGGCACUGUUGGACAUCUUCCGAUUAUGAAGGGAAGUAAGCAUGAUGUGUCUGUCAUCUGCUGCACUAAGUUUCCUUGGCCGACCACUGCUUCUACGGUCCUCAACGUUGCCCGUUUCUUUGUGCUUCUUCAACAGAGCUUGGACAGCACAUCUGGAAACUCCCGUCUGCCUUGAAAUUUCUGCCUAGGAGAGACCUUGCUGAUGCAGUAUAACUACCUUGUGUCUUGUUGCUGUGCUCAGUCUUGCCAUGGUGUAUGACUUCUGACAUUAAACUGUCUUCAGCAACCUCA
Long non-coding RNA from Conger conger (European conger), 932 nucleotides. RefSeq lists it as uncharacterized. Lineage: Eukaryota; Metazoa; Chordata; Actinopteri; Anguilliformes; Congridae. The record is from RefSeq and is a predicted model, not a curated record. The transcript has 4 exons.